RNAcentral lists this transfer RNA (64 nucleotides) under pig gut metagenome. It matches the Rfam family "tRNA", at positions 6 to 65 of the family's 71-position model. From Rfam's summary of the family: Transfer RNA (tRNA) molecules are approximately 80 nucleotides in length. Their secondary structure includes four short double-helical elements and three loops (D, anti-codon, and T loops). The record is from RNAcentral.
GAGUAGCUCAGCUGGAUAGAGCAACGGCCUUCUAAGCCGUCGGUCGCAGGUUCGAAUCCUGUCU